UUUUAUAUUUGAUAUUUGAUUCUGCUAUUUCUUAUGAGUAGACUGAGGUCAUGCGUUUUUGGCAAGAAUACCACAGAAGCAAUGCACCCUUCUCAAUAUAAUAUUAUAUUGGCAGUUUAAGACGUCAAUAUGUCUUAUUAGUAGUGAUGUUAACUUUGAUCACUUGGCUUGUGGAGGCCGAGAAAAUUAAGGCCAUUCCACUUUGAGUUCAGCGUUAUCACAAGUGCAGCCAUCCCAGGCCCCUGUGAAUAAGGGCUGAACUUUAUCUUACUUCAGUUACAGGAAGAAAACAGCUUGCAGCUUAACAUCCUAGAAAGCCCCUAUUAGAAUAAGAACAGAGCUCAACGCCCUUGAAAGCCCCAUAUCAAAAUGUAAACAGAACUUGAGAAAUUCCUCCAUCCCUUCUGAAGAUCCCCUAGACCAGCCUUUAAAAACUAAGCUGAAACCCACCUCCGGGUCCAAGUCCCUGCUCCGCUGUGUCGGGUACACUUGGACCCAAGCUCGAGCUUGUAAAUAAACCCUCGUGUGUUUGCAUCGGUGUUGGCUCCUUGGUGGUUUCUCGGAUUCGCAAUCUUGGGUACAACAGGUUUAGGUCAUGUCUGCGGGGUUUCUGCACAGUGAAGUUACUAUUUUUCUCUUCUUUAAAUUAAUAAAUAUAUUGGAGUAGAUAUUGAAGACUGUGCAAAUAUCCUGUUUCACCUCACUUUCAUCUGCUAUUAGCAUCUAAUGGUGGAUCUUGCCUGCAAUAGUUGUUAUUGUGGUAUUGUGUGUUCUAAUGGUGAUUUUCUACUUCUCUUAUUCCUUCUAUAUUAUUUAGUUAGAAUUAUUCUCUAGGGAAGACCCAUCCCUUCUGCCUUAUUUAUUUAUUUACUUAGUCAAUUAUUUAUAUAUUACCAAUAUGGAUUCAUGAAUAUUUAUUUUAUUCUAUAGGUUAUAAUCUAAUACCAUCAUUAUUUUUUUGCUCCGUCAGUUCUGGCUCCGGCCACCGAGGCCUCUGUCUAUGGGUUUCUCUGCCCUUUAGACUAGUCCUCACCUUUUUUUGAGCACUGUUUUACUUUCUAGUAAAACAUCUAGCUCAUCUUGUCUUUCCCCUGCUCAGACCAGUAACCAACCAAGUUUCCAAAGCUUCUUUUAGUGGAGAAUAGUAUUUAGAACUCGAGAUUUGUGUGUUAAAUGUGCUCCUAAACUCAACAAUAAGAAAAGAAAAAAUGUGAUUAAAAAUGGGCAAAAGAUCUGAACAGAUACUUCACCAAAGAAGACAUACAGAUGGAACAUAAAAAGCACAUGAAAAGAUCCUCUACAUCACCUGUCAUCAUAGAGUUACAAGUUAAAAGAAGAUGCCACUAUGCACCUAUUAGAAUGACCAAAAAUAAAUAAAUAAAUAACGACAACAACAAACCUGACAUCAAAUGCUGACAAGGACACAGAGUUACAGGAAUUCUCAUUCACUGCUGGUGGGAAUGCAAAAUGGUACAGUCACUUUGGAAGACAGUUUGACAGUUUCUUACAAAGCUAAACAUAGUCUUACCAUAUGAUCCAGCAAUCAUGUUCCUAAGUUCUUACCCAACUGAGUUGAAACGUAUGUCCCUACAGAAGUCUGCACAUGAAUGUUUAUAGCAGUUUUAUUCAUAGUCUCCAAAAACUAGAAACAACCAAGAUGUCCAUCCAAAGGUGAAUGGUAAGCCAACCAUAACCCAUUAAUACAAGGAAAUACUUGUCAGCUACAAAAAAUCACAGAAAGACACAGAGGAAUCUUAAAUGCAUAGUGCCAAGUAAAAGAAAUCAAUCUGAAAAAGCCACAUGCUGUAUGAUUCCAACCAUGUGACAUUCUGGAAAAGAUAAAACUAGGGAGGCAGUAAAAAGACCAGUGGUUGCCAGGGAUUUGAGCUGUGGGGGAUGAAUACAUGAACUACAAGAGAUUUUUAGGGUGGUAAACUAUUCUGUAUGAUACUGUAAUGGUGGAUGCAUGACAUUAUACAAUGUUCAAAACCUACAGAACUCUAUAACACCAAAAUGAACCUUACUGCAAACAAAUUUUUUUAAAAAUCAUUUAGGGGGUUGGAAGAUCCCAGGAAAGAAUGCAGGCUGUGACAAGAGAAUCCAACUGUAUCUUUCUAAAUGUAUGAAGCAACCUCACUGAAGAGGGUGGGGAAAGAAGUGCUGACCCAAGUAAAUUUGGGAAUGGGGCAUGUAAGACUAAAGGCAAAAGGAACUGCCCAUAUGUACUAUGCUCUAGCCAGUACCACAGGGGCAUGAAUUAACCAUUCAGAUAUAACCAUACAUAUAUAUGGGAUUGAUCAAAUCAAUUAAUAAACAGGGAGAAAAGACAAGUUCCUCAUGCAGAAGAAUUCCAAAUAAGUUCUGUAGAUACUCUACCCUAAAGAUAGGGAGCAUAACUUCCCACUCCAAAAAUGGGGGCCGUUCAUAGUGACUUCCUUCCAAAGACUGCAGUAUGAGAAGGGGAAAGAAAAAGAGUCACUUUGCAGUGGAGAGAUCUGACAAACACACUUUGGCCAAGGUCAGCAUCAACAGCCAAAGAUCACGUUGGUAACAUGUACCUGUGCUGGGUUCAAGAGUAUCCUCCCACAAUUCCUUCCCAAGACCUCAGAAUUUGACCUUAUUUGGAAAUUGGGUCAUUGAGGCUGUAAUUAGUUAAGAUGGGGUGAUUCUGGAGUAGGUUUGGCCCUUAUCCAAUAUGACUGCUGUUCUUGUAAGGAAAAGAGAAGAGGCAUAGGGUUAAGAGCUGAGAAUGUCAUGGGACAGUGGAGGGAGGGAUUGACAGUGCUACAACAGGAACCAGGGAAGCUAGGGAAACUGGUGGAAGCUAGAGAGAAGCAAGGAAGGAUUUUUCCAUAGGUUUCAGAUGUGCCAUGGCCUUGCCAACACCUUGAUUUCAGACUUCCAGUUUCCAGAACCAUGAAAGAACAAAUUCAUGUUGUCUUAAGCCAGUUAGCAGUACUUUGUUAUGACAGCCCUAGGAAAAUGAUACAGUACCCUUGACGUGAUAUGAUGAAAAUGGUCCUUUACCUCUGAGCUCUUCCUCCUCAGAACUCUUAACUCCUGCCUAAUGAGGAGAAAAAAACACCAAACAAAUGCCAAUAGAGGAACAUCCUAUGAAAUGGCUGACUAAAACUACUCAAAACUCUCAAAGUCAUCAAAAACGAGAAAAAUCAGAGAAACAGUCACAGCCAAGAAGGGCCUAUCCCUUAGUCCAUCAGAGCUCCUGAAUCCAUUAACAACAACAUGUAUUUCUCAUAGCUCUGGAGGCCAGGAAGUCCGAGCUUUAGUCUUUCUAUUUGUAAACAGAGGUAUUUGGACAAAUAGACACCUUGAUCCAUUCUGUUUCUGGAUCUACUCAUGAAAAAUGAGAAUCUUUGGGCAGCCCCGGUGGUGCAGUGGUUUGGUGCCACCUGAGGCCCAGGGCCUGAUCCUGGAGACCCAGGAUCGAGUCCCACGUCGGGCUCCCUGCGUGGAGCCUGCUUCUCCCUCUGCCUCUCUCUCGCUCGCUCUGUGUCUCUCAUGAGUAAAUAAAAUAAAAUCUUUAAAAAAAAAAGAAUCUGGGAUCCCUGGGUGGCGCAGCGGUUUAGCGCCUGCCUUUGGCCCAAGGCGCGAUCCUGGAGACCCGGGAUCGAAUCCCACGUCCGGCUCCCGGUGCAUGGAGCCUGCUUCUCCCUCUGCCUGUGUCUCUGCCUCUCUCUCUCUCUCUCUCUCUCUCUCUCUCUCUCUCUGUGACUAUCAUAAAUAAAUAAAAAAAAAAUUAAAAAAAAAAAAGAAUCUUCGAUUCAGCUGCCUGAUUUUGUAAUAAUACUUGGCCCAAAAGUACUCAUACCCAUGUCUUUUUAAAGUUUUUUAAAGAUUUUAUUUAUUUCAGAGAUUGAGAGUAAGGGAGAGAAAGAGAUCAUGAGCAGGAAGGAGGGGCAGAGGGAGAAGUAGACUCCCUGCUGAGCAGGGAACCUGAUGCAGGACUCAAUCCCAAGACUCAAGGAUCAUGACUGGAACUAAGGGCAGAUGCUUAACAGAGUGAGCCACGGAGGCACCCCUACCCAUGUCUUUCUGACCGAUAUGAAAUUAUCUCUAAAACAAUAAUGCAUCCAAUACUAACACAUUCAGAAUUACAAUGAGUUUUUGCAGACCCAGGAUCUGGCCAGGAGGAGAAACAGGCUGAAGGGGCAGUUCUCUCUUCUGGCAUGGGUGCCACAUGUUCCCCUCAGGUGCACAGCAUUAAAGUUGGGUGGUGCUGGUAGCUACCCACUCAGGUAAGAUGCAGGCUGUAUAGGCAGUACCUGGUACCCUCAGGUGACUAGGACUACUAAAUUGUAUGGUCCUGGUCAUGGUUGCAUUUUAAGCAUCAUAAAUUCCUGCUCCUGUCAUCCUUUCAUUACUCAUCUAUCCCAAGCAUACUACUGGAAAGACAGAGAUAAAUGAAACAGUC
RNAcentral lists this long non-coding RNA (4432 nucleotides) under Canis lupus familiaris (dog). Its description in RNAcentral is "lncRNA (ENSCAFG00000051364.1, ENSCAFG00845024858.1)". The record is from RNAcentral. Lineage: Eukaryota; Metazoa; Chordata; Mammalia; Carnivora; Canidae.